CCUACGGGAGGCAGCAGUGAGGAAUAUUGGUCAAUGGGCGGGAGCCUGAACCAGCCAAGUCGCGUGAGGGAAGACGGUCCUAUGGAUUGUAAACCUCUGUCUUCGGUGACGAAACGAGACGGUAGCCGAGGAGGAAGCCACGGCUAACUACGUGCCAGCAGCCGCGGUAAUACGUAGGUGGCAAGCGUUGUCCGGAAUUACUGGGUGUAAAGGGAGCGUAGGCGGGAAAGCAAGUUGAAUGUUUAAGGUACGGGCUCAACCUGUACAAGCGUUCAAAACUGUUUUUCUUGAGUGGAGUAGAGGUAAGCGGAAUUCCUAGUGUAGCGGUGAAAUGCGUAAAUAUUAGGAGGAACACCAGGGGCGAAGGCGGCUUACUGGGCUUUAACUGACGCUGAGGCUCGAAAGCGUGGGUAGCAAACAGGAUUAGAUACCCGAGUAGUC
RNAcentral lists this ribosomal RNA (441 nucleotides) under uncultured bacterium. Its description in RNAcentral is "partial 16S ribosomal RNA". It matches the Rfam family "Bacterial small subunit ribosomal RNA", at positions 338 to 795 of the family's 1533-position model. The record is from RNAcentral.